Molecule: non-coding RNA, 2492 nt
Organism: Dermacentor andersoni
Lineage: Eukaryota; Metazoa; Arthropoda; Arachnida; Ixodida; Ixodidae
Source: RefSeq, a predicted model, not a curated record
CAGUUUAGGUUUGACAUGCGAUCGCGCGUCGACAUCGGACGCUAUGGCACACUCGUGCCUUAUGUGCCACCGAAGCCCCGACGUGCUCUGGCAUAUACCUUCACAUGUUUCCCUUCAGUAGGAAAUUGCUGGACAGGCGGACCAGCGCACCGGAAUUGUACUGACGAAGCCACAAGCAACUCAAAGAAUCUGUUUAAUUGUUGCACUUUGAACAAUCAUGCUUCUACAAAGGCCACAGCAGAAACACAGCCUGAUGCCGAUUUCUGUGCCACGAAGUAAUCAGGAGGCGAGUGUCUAAUGCGGACGAAAUCGAGUGCAUCGAGACUUAUAACGACAGAAAGCUGAGCUAGUUGAUAUGCAAUGGCAAGCCCUUCCAUGUGUUCAAAGGUAAAAUUUAAGCUCUAAAUUAAAGAAGACAUUUCUAGUCAGAAACAAGCAAAAAUGGUGAAUGCAGAGUAUCAGAAGCCCAAGGUACAGAAAUUAUGAGAAGUGUCGAAUGAUUUUAAGGAAAGACUCGUAUUUGAAAAUGCAAGACUCUUUAGUGGAGGUCAAGCAAGUCAAUAUAGGUAGAAUACUCUGCAAAAUUAUGCGAGUGAGGGGAUGUCAAACAAUGGGUCAGGAAAUGCAUUGUUUUUCUGCAAAACAAAAGCUGAUUGCCAUUACAUAAGUCACUUCAGCAUCAUGAGACUGCUGCAUGAUAAAUUCAGAAAUAAACCAAAAAACAAGACGCAAAAAUAAAAAACAAUUUAAUGAUGCUCUCUCCACACUGCGAUAAGUAAAAAAAAAACACAUCACAUCUAAUGUGGACAUAUCAGACGCCUUGUGAAACACUAAAGGAAAAAUUCAGUUUUGAGCUAUGGCACUUGCCACAUAGAUGUGGGGGGGCAUUGCGCUAAUAGUGAUAGUUACCACUGCAUUUAGAAAUUGAAAGCAUUCACGCAGACAAGGAUGAUUCUUUAUAUUUUUGGCUACCACUUCAGAUGCCUCCACCAAGUGUUACUAUGCUGCACGCAGCCAUACUAAGGAUCUCGCCGCAAUACCUGCAGGUGAAAAGCAGAAGCAGUCAAAGUGCUGGUGUGUACUAGGCACUAUGUUUGAAAACGUUUAGGCAAGAAGAGUGCAAGAAGCAGACAUAGCAACUGCAUUUAUUUCCAUGAUUCCCCAUUUGAAUGGCCUUUUCUUUUUGCUUAGACAAUGCCUACGCCUAGCCACAGCAGCUCCCUCAUACAGACUCCGCAAGCCAAGAGGCCGUGGAGGCAAAUGCAGGUAAGAGGCAAGAAACAAUAGCACUGGUAUCGACAUUCACCUAAUUUCUUUCUAUUUCUUUCGUUUAGGCAGCCAGCACACCGCGAACAGCCACCUUGACUGCAGGUGUGUCACCCUAGUCGCCAAGGAAACAUUUGAGGGAAAGCGACAGGCAAUGUGAACAGCCACUUCUCCAUGUAAACGAUACUCUUUCUCUCGGAUGACUCCUACGCCUCGCCACGCCAGCACACUUGUGCACAAAGAUGCCACGGAAGCACGUGCAGGUCAGAGGCAAGAAGCAGUGGCACUGGUGUCGACAUUCACCCAUUUUCUUUUUCUUACGCUGAGGCAGCCAGCACACCUCGAACAGCCACCUUGACUGCAGGUGUGUCACCCUAGUCGCCAAGGAAACAUUUGAGGGAAAGCGACAGGCAAUGUGAACAGCCACUUCUCCAUGUAAACGAUACUCUUUCUCUCGGAUGACUCCUACGCCUCGCCACGCCAGCACACUUGUGCACAAAGAUGCCACGGAAGCACGUGCAGGUCAGAGGCAAGAAGCAGUGGCACUGGUGUCGACAUUCACCCAUUUUCUUUUUCUUACGCUGAGGCAGCCAGCACACCUCGAACAGCCACCUUGACUGCAGGUGUGUCACCCUAGUCGCCAAGGAAACAUUUGAGGGAAAGCGACAGGCAAUGUGAACAGCCACUUCUCCAUGUAAACGAUACUCUUUCUCUCGGAUGACUCCUACGCCUCGCCACGCCAGCACACUUGUGCACAAAGAUGCCACGGAAGCACGUGCAGGUCAGAGGCAAGAAGCAGUGGCACUGGUGUCGACAUUCACCCAUUUUCUUUUUCUUACGCUGAGGCAGCCAGCACACCUCGAACAGCCACCUUGACUGCAGGUGUGUCACCCUAGUCGCCAAGGAAACAUUUGAGGGAAAGCGACAGGCAAUGUGAACAGCCACUUCUCCAUGUAAACGAUACUCUUUCUCUCGGAUGACUCCUACGCCUCGCCACGCCAGCACACUUGUGCACAAAGAUGCCACGGAAGCACGUGCAGGUCAGAGGCAAGAAGCAGUGGCACUGGUGUCGACAUUCACCCAUUUUCUUUUUCUUACGCUGAGGCAGCCAGCACACCUCGAACAGCCACCUUGACUGCGGGUGUGUCAGUAGUUGCUGUUGUACAUAUGUUCAUAAUAAACUUCAGUAAACUUGAACUUGACAAUAAACUUGAAGGCAAAUGGGA